GUCCACGCCCUAAACGAUGUCAACUGGUUGUUGGGAAUUCACUUUCUCAGUAACGAAGCUAACGCGUGAAGUUGACCGCCUGGGGAGUACGGCCGCAAGGUUAAAACUCAAAGGAAUUGACGGGGACCCGCACAAGCGGUGGAUGAUGUGGUUUAAUUCGAUGCAACGCGAAAAACCUUACCCACCUUUGACAUGUAUGGAAGGCCGCAGAGACGCGGUUUGUGCCCCGAAAGGGAGCCAUAACACAGGUGCUGCAUGGCUGUCGU
RNAcentral lists this ribosomal RNA (266 nucleotides) under uncultured bacterium. RNAcentral's name for it is "partial 16S ribosomal RNA". It matches the Rfam family "Bacterial small subunit ribosomal RNA", at positions 793 to 1055 of the family's 1533-position model. The record is from RNAcentral.